GGUGAACGCUGGCGGCGUGCCUAAUACAUGCAAGUCGAGCGAACAGAUGAGGAGCUUGCUCCUCUGACGUUAGCGGCGGACGGGUGAGUAACACGUGGAUAACCUACCUAUAAGACUGGGAUAACUUCGGGAAACCGGAGCUAAUACCGGAUAAUAUAUUGAACCGCAUGGUUCAAUAGUGAAAGACGGUUUUGCUGUCACUUAUAGAUGGAUCCGCGCCGCAUUAGCUAGUUGGUAAGGUAACGGCUUACCAAGGCAACGAUGCGUAGCCGACCUGAGAGGGUGAUCGGCCACACUGGAACUGAGACCCGGUCCAGCCUCCUACGGGAGGCAGCAGUAGGGAAUCUUCCGCAAUGGGCGAAAGCCUGACGGAGCAACGCCGCGUGAGUGAUGAAGGUCUUCGGAUCGUAAAACUCUGUUAUUAGGGAAGAACAAAUGUGUAAGUAACUAUGCACGUCUUGACGGUACCUAAUCAGAAAGCCACGGCUAACUACGUG
RNAcentral lists this ribosomal RNA (497 nucleotides) under uncultured bacterium. Its description in RNAcentral is "partial 16S ribosomal RNA". It matches the Rfam family "Bacterial small subunit ribosomal RNA", at positions 28 to 507 of the family's 1533-position model. The record is from RNAcentral.